UACGAAGGGGGCUAGCGUUGUUCGGAAUUACUGGGCGUAAAGCGCGCGCAGGCGGUUCUUCAAGUCAGAGGUGAAAGCCCAGAGCUCAACUCUGGAAUGGCCUUUGAGACUAGAGAACUAGGGUACGGGAGAGGUGAGUGGAAUUCCGAGUGUAGAGGUGAAAUUCGUAGAUAUUCGGAAGAACACCAGUGGCGAAGGCGGCUCACUGGCCCGUUACCGACGCUCAGGCGCGACAGCGUGGGGAGCAAACAGGAUUAGAUACCCUGGUAGUCCACGCCGUAAACGAUGGAUGCUAGCCGUUGGUAAGCAUGCUUAUCAGUGGCGCAGCUAACGCAUUAAGCGUCCCGCCUGGGGAGUACGGCCGCAAGGUUGAA
This 374-nucleotide ribosomal RNA is filed under the name uncultured bacterium. Its description in RNAcentral is "bacterial SSU rRNA". It matches the Rfam family "Bacterial small subunit ribosomal RNA", at positions 524 to 898 of the family's 1533-position model. The record is from RNAcentral.